CAAUUCAACCUUUUGUGUUUUAAUUUCGUGAGGGGAGGAGAAAAGGAAAGGAAAAGUCUAAUAAAUAGAGAAGAAGAAGGAGAAUAAGCCUUGGGGCAAAUAAAUGUGUGUUCAAAGUUUUUGAGUUGGUUGGUCUUACGUGCGGGCGGGUCUGUUUUUUCAACUUCCCCUUUCCUCUUUCUCUAUAAUCCCUUUUUCCAUGAAUUUUCCAUGAAAAUCAUCUUCUUCCUUAGUAAUUUCCACACCUUUUUUUUUUUUUUUUUGUUAAAAGUAAUUUCAUUUCUCUAUAAUCCCUUUUUCCAUGAAUUUUCCAUGAAAAUCAUCUUCUUCCUUAGUAAUUUCCCCCCCUUUUUUUUUUUUUUUUUGCUAAAAGUAAUUUCCACACCUUGUCGAAGAAGAAGACGACGACUCCAACAAUAAAGAGCAAGAAGAAAAAGAAAAAGUAGUUGAAGACGGUGACGCGUAUGAUUAUGGCCGAAGAUGAUUCUCAGUCACUUUGCUUGGUUUAUUUCUUACUCUUCGUUUUGAUCACAG
Molecule: long non-coding RNA, 534 nt
Filed under: Brassica napus (rape)
Lineage: Eukaryota; Viridiplantae; Streptophyta; Magnoliopsida; Brassicales; Brassicaceae
Description: long non-coding RNA (BNAP_LNC019288)
Source: RNAcentral